This 60-nucleotide transfer RNA is filed under the name Pithemera bicincta. RNAcentral's name for it is "tRNA-Leu1". The record is from RNAcentral. Lineage: Eukaryota; Metazoa; Annelida; Clitellata; Crassiclitellata; Megascolecidae.
GGUGUGUUGGCAGAAUAGUGCUAUCGACUUAGGAUCGAUCCAUGGAGAGUCCACACACUA